AGUACCGUCCAAUACCAGGUUGAGUAACGGGUCGAACCCUUUCAGAACCCCGCUAGCUGAAAGGGGAAAACAUAGCAAUGACGUCAUCAUGUAACCAUGUUGGCGUGAACAAUUAACUCACCUUCUCGUCCUCCUUGGAACUUAACCCGAAUUGGCUUGUCGAUGUAUUUGGACAAGUCGAAGAUACUCUCCUUCUUCUUCUUGUCUUUGUCCUAACAAACACACAAGAGCCUCGUCAUUUAGUCGCACGCCAGUUAGCCGCAGCAAGGCUAACCCCGGGUUAGCCUGCCUGUAAAAACCCACUAUUUUAAAACCACAUUUCACACCCGCGCCGUGUCUCGAAAGACAGCGACGUGUAGCACGCUGCUGGCGAAUAAGCGCGUCGGAGAACGUCGACGACAGCGAAGCGUGUGAAGUUUGAAAAUGAUAACGAAAAAAACAAUUCGGACUCACCGCCAUGUUUGCUGAGCGACGCGGAAGUACAACUUUGGACUUCCGGCGGGCUCGGCCAAUCAGAGUGAAGAGGGGGAGGAAAUGGAGGGAACGACGUCACUGUUUAAAAAAAAAAAGCUGAGUCACAAACAUGCUAAUGCUAUCUAAUGAAUGUAUUGUGUCGGUGCUACAGCAUUAAUACUAAUAAUGUUCGCGUUUUAUUACAGUAACAAACUAAAGAAGACAACAAUGAGCAGUACAUGCGCAUUCUAGGCAGGUGGGUGAAAGUGAGGAGACAUUAAGGUGAUACACCUAAAUGAUACAGGUGCAAUGACCGGGUGUCCCAAUACUUUUGCCGGUGGAAGAUUCCUACCUGAAAGGAAACACCACCAGCCGCGUGACCAGGAAGACCAGAGCGAAGAGGAGAAACAGCGAGUCACACGUCCGCGCCCAGUCGGCGUAGUGAAACAUCUUGGCCGACUUCAAAGACGCAGAGGAGCAGGGACAAGUAGAAGCCCAGUUCCAGGAUGUAAUACCAGGAGUGGACAUUGCUGACAUGCUGGAAAAGGAACUUCUUGGUGUUGGUGGGUCGGUCCUGGUUUCGCCUGUGCCGGAACCAGGUGAGGACCUGUGCCUGGGAGAGUCCACACUGCUUGCCUAGGAAGGCCACUUCACUCUGAGGGGGAACAAACACGCCAUUAAAGCAUCCCAGCAGGCACCAGACAUUGAUACAACGUUGUUUAUACGUACGUGUCCUUUAAAACGGACUCUGAAACAACAGUGCAAAAUAGUUGUAUUUGUCAAUUGUGACAACGUUGGUGUCUAACGUUGAA
Nerophis lumbriciformis (worm pipefish) is the source of this 1265-nucleotide long non-coding RNA. RefSeq lists it as uncharacterized. The record is from RefSeq and is a predicted model, not a curated record. NCBI's taxonomy places the organism in Eukaryota, Metazoa, Chordata, Actinopteri, Syngnathiformes, Syngnathidae.